AUUGCCUUAGUAACGGCGAGUGAAGCGGCAACAGCUCAAAUUUGAAAUCUGGCUUCGGCCCGAGUUGUAAUUUGCAGAGGAUGUUCCUGGGGCUGGCUCGGGUCUGAGUCCCCUGGAACCGGGGCGCCGCGAAGGGUGAGAGCCCCGUACUGGUGAUGGCUUGGCCCCUGUGAAGCCCCCUCGACGAGUCGAGUAGUUGGGAAUGCUGCUCAAAAUGGGAGGUAAAUUUCUUCUAAAGCUAAUACCGGCGAGAGACCGAUAGCGCACAAGUCGAGGGACGAAGAUGAAAAGCACUUUGAAAAGAAAGUUAAACAGUACGUGAAAUUGUUGAAAGGGAAGCGCUUGUGGCCAGACUCCGCUUUCGGUGGAUCAUCCCGCUUCUCGCUGUGACCCUCUGCUUAUCGGGCCAGCAUCGGUUCCCGCGGGGGGACAAUGGCUUCAGGAAUGUGACUUUCUUCGGUGGAGUGUUAUAGCCCGGGGCACAAUGCCCCCGCGGGGACCGAGGUUCGCGCAUCUGCAAGGAUGAUGGCGUAAUGGCCGACCCGUCUUGAAACACGGA
Molecule: ribosomal RNA, 559 nt
Filed under: Linocarpon pandani
Lineage: Eukaryota; Fungi; Ascomycota; Sordariomycetes; Chaetosphaeriales; Linocarpaceae
Description: eukaryotic LSU rRNA
Rfam family: Eukaryotic large subunit ribosomal RNA
Source: RNAcentral